Molecule: long non-coding RNA, 2852 nt
Organism: Gallus gallus (chicken)
Lineage: Eukaryota; Metazoa; Chordata; Aves; Galliformes; Phasianidae
Source: Ensembl
GGAAAAUAUCUCACUCACAUCUCCUCCGCCAAGAAAGAUCUGAGUCUGUCAUUUCCAGCAGAGGUCUGCAAACUGACGUGAAGAAAAUCCAGUCAAGGCAAGUGAUUGAGUUUGGUGUCCUUUCUCUGACAGCAGACAGUGAGGUAUUUUCUCCCUACGUUUCUGGCAUGAUGCCAUUAGAAUUCCAUUCCAUUUUCUCAACUGCCACUAUUUGGCAUAAAAACUAUUCCGUUUGUCUUCAUUACCUUCUUGCCACUACAUGUGCAUGACUGCAUACAAAUGCAUGCUCAUUUGCGAGUAAAGUCUAGGCACAUGCAUGUGGAAUCUAUACAUGAUUCAAUUUAUCACGUUACUUGGAAAACAAGGAAAAAAAGCAAAGAAAGCUCACAGAAGUAUGCUCGGCCUUGUUGCAGUCUUCAGAACCAACCCCAAACAUAUCCAAAUAAAGCUUUCCAAUGAAAAAGACAUUAGGUGCAAUGAACAGAGCAACAAAUGCAACUGCACAGCACAUGGGGCAGUGACAUUGCUCUUGCACAGGGAGACACUGAUAUUUUGGCAUUUGUUUUCCUCUCAAACUGGAACAAAGUCAAAAUAUUUAAACGUUCCUGGAGGGAAACAUUUCAGUUUAGAAAAGUCUACAUUUCAUCUCAACACGCGGGAUUGACAUCAACAGGAGACUGAUGAAAUGCAUCCCUUUCAUUUAAUGCUACCCAUUGAAUCAAGCCACAUGGAAGAUGUUGCUUUGGGUCUCUCUUUCUGCCAUGAUCUCUGGGGACCCUGUGCUUUGGCAGUGCUCCUUCUCCAACGAUGCGCAGCGUUUUUUGUUUUUCUUUCUUUGUUGCCUCAAAUGGCCUGAGCUCAGACAAUAAGAGUGCGCUGCCAAUACAAUACAGUUCUUUUCUAUGACUUCAUGCUUAUAAUAAUGGGAUGCAGUACUGACUUCUUCCCUAGGUCUGACCAUCUAGACCUUUCUGCUACGAACACCUGCCGUCUCACUGCAGGACCAGAAGGAUUCAGUUGGAAUACAGAUCACUACCACUGCAAUGCCUCAAAGGGUCUUCCUGGGAUCCUCUCCAGACUGGCAGGAGUCCCCCCUAAACCCAGUUUCCAGUCUUCCAGCUCCACAUGGAUUUGCUGUGUGGCACAAAGUAUCUCACAAAUCAGGAAAUGCCUACCUUUUGGAUACUAAAUCCCACUCCUACUGUGCACGGUUAUCAUUUAGGAUAAGAAAACAAGGCCUGUUCUAGACAAGGAGAGACAAAAUUUGAUUUAGAGGUGACAGAAAGCAAUAUUUAACUGCAACUGCACAAAUCUGUUGUGGCCAGUUCCCAUAUUUACCAUGCUUCUACAAAACCAUUUGUCUCUCUAUAGACCCAGAUGGCCAGGGGUUCCGUUUGUCCCAAGGCUUCUGGCAGAGCAAGGCACACAGAUUGUUCUUUCCUUAGCUCCUCUGGAAUUAAUGAACAUUGAUUCAUUUCCAUUUAUUAGGAGAUAAGAUUUAACUUCUUGGCUCAGUAAGGCUUGUUUCCUGUGACACCUGCAGCUUGUUUCAGUUUCUACUUCAGCUCUUCCACCCAUUCUGAUAAACAAAUUAAUCACAUCCUGAAAAAGUGAAAGCAAGUGAUAUUUCACUGCUUAGAUCACUACAUCCAGAUCAGGCCCCAUCUGGGAUUCUGUGAUCUAUAUUUCUGGGACUGGGUCAGCCUGGGGCCAGAUCUGGGCAUCCAGGCUCUUCCAUAGAUCCUUAUAAACACAGCAGAAUGUCAUCUGCAGAACACCCUGACACAACAGAGGUGCUGAAGAAAACUAAGAACACUGAGUAGCUCUCACUUCAGUAAAGCAAAACUGGGAAACGUAACGACUUGCUCAAGUUCUUGGACAAGGAAAAAAAGAUCAUUUCCCCACUGCUGUAAAGAAACAAAACAAGAAAGAAGUCAAUGAAGUGAAAAACGCUAUGGAGACAGGAUGAGACCGCUAUGGAAAUUUCUCCUGAUACUUCAGUUGAACUGAAUCCUUUUUAAUUAAAUUUCACUGUAAGAUCUAAUCUGGCACUCAAAGGAACAAGUCAGUUGGUACAAUUGGUCACAGAUAAGGUUCCCUGCCUGUGAUCCAGCAUCACUGAAGGAUCAUUGAAUUGUAGUAGAAGUAGAUACAAAAGGGACCUCGAGACGUCGUCUGAUCUCCCCCUGACUUAAAUUAAGAAUGACACUACCUCAACUGUCCCUAACACAUUUAUUUAAGUACUUUUUAUUCCGAACAUCCAAAAUAUUACUUUGCCCCUAGGCAGCAGAGGAUAAAGUUCCACCCACUGAGAAUCUCCCAGCCAGUAUCACACAGAGAAAAGUGGAGAUAAGGGUAAAGAAAGAAUACCCACUAGUCCCCAACGUGCUCAGUCCUAACAAUAAGAGUCUGAUCCCUCAAACACAAUAUAUGACUUUAUUCUUUUCACAGUCCUUCACACUGAGAAAUAGACCAGAAGAAGACAAUGCCAAAGACAUCUCUGUGAGAAAUGUUUCAGUUCAAAGAUCUCAUACUGAAAGAUAGAAAUUCAUUGUCUGUGACUACACCAAUACUGAAGAGCAAGGAUCCUUGAUUUGGAAAAUUUACUACGAAAAGAAAUUUGAUUCAACACUCGCUUCUGCUGAAAUAGCACUAAGAAAUGAGUUUUAAUAGAGAAGAUGGAUAAUGUUCCAAAACUGAAAUUGCCCAAAACCCUUUAAAAAACUAACAAACAAACAACAAAAAAUGUGUUCCAAAGAUUGAUGUAUUUCCUUCCUUCCUUCCUUCCUUCCUUCCUUCCUUCCUUCCUUCCUUCCUUCCUUCCUUCCUUCCUUCCUUCCUUCCUUCCUUCC